UACGUAGGGGGCUAGCGUUGUCCGGAAUCAUUGGGCGUAAAGCGCGUGUAGGCGGCUCGAUAAGUCUGUUGUGAAAGCCCAGGGCUCAACCCUGGAACGCCGAUGGAUACUGUCGAGCUAGAGUCCGGAAGAGGCGAGUGGAAUUCCUGGUGUAGCGGUGAAAUGCGCAGAUAUCAGGAGGAACACCAAUGGCGAAGGCAGCUCGCUGGGACGGUACUGACGCUGAGACGCGAAAGCGUGGGGAGCAAACAGG
This 253-nucleotide ribosomal RNA is filed under the name uncultured bacterium. RNAcentral describes it as "partial 16S ribosomal RNA". It matches the Rfam family "Bacterial small subunit ribosomal RNA", at positions 524 to 776 of the family's 1533-position model. The record is from RNAcentral.